GGAUCGGGUUAGGGUUAUCUAUUGGCUGAGCAAGCUGCCUGUGUCCUGACCUAAACUUCAUGUGAUUGGUCGACGUAACCAUCAGUCAAGACAGUUAGCAGCCAAGAUGGCGGCAGCUAAGGGUAAAAAGAUAGCUUUUCAUCCAGAAAGAUGACUCGGUGACCGUUUAUCUGUAUUAAACUAUUGGGCAAAGUCUCUGAUAAGUCACUGAAGUACCACGCCGGAUUACUUAGCUUCUGGAAGGGCUACAAUGGCACUCAAGUCCGCUUUGAAACGGCAAAGCUGUUAGCUAAUCAGGCUAAAAACACAGCCUGCUACUAGCAGUAGUGGAAUAAUUUGGGACAUGCCAUGUUGGUAGAUAGAAAUAAUAGGUGAAGGUACCCACGCUGCGCCAGCUAUGUUGGAGAGGUCUGAGUGGGAACCAAUGCCAGAGUAAAAAAGAAGUGGGUGCAGGAGCCAUCAUCUUGCCUCGGCGGCAGUGCUAGUAGACUACUUCUGGCGUCUCUUUGGUCUUGCUGACAGUCACGAGUAGGUUGGUUUGUUCAGGUCAGGUCCUUUACAUCUUUUCAAGAAAAAAGCCACAGUAUAGUAUGUCUAACAAAUGAUAAAAAGCCAUAGUAUAGUAU
Etheostoma spectabile (orangethroat darter) is the source of this 626-nucleotide long non-coding RNA. RefSeq lists it as uncharacterized. NCBI's taxonomy places the organism in Eukaryota, Metazoa, Chordata, Actinopteri, Perciformes, Percidae. The record is from RefSeq and is a predicted model, not a curated record. The transcript has 2 exons.